AUGGAUCACGAAUUCCCAGAAGGGUUUAAACCCGUAAACAUCAAAUCGUAUGAUGGCACAACAGACCCCGCGGUGUGGAUCGAAGACUUUCUUCUCCACAUUCACAUGGCCCGCGGUGAUGACAUACAUGCCAUCAAGUAUCUUCCCCUUAAACUCAAAGGACUGGCCCGACACUGGCUGAAUAGCCUGCCGGCAAACUCCAUCGGCAGUUGGGAAAACCUGGAGGACGCGUUCCUCGACAACUUCCAAGGAACCUACGUGCGACCACCGGAUGCUGAUGACUUAAGUCACAUUACCCAACAGCCCGGAGAGUCAGCCAGGAAAUUCUGGACUCGGUUCCUAACUAAAAAGAACCAAAUUGUCGAUUGUCCGGAUGCCGAAGCCCUGGCGGCCUUUAAGCAUAAUAACUGUGGCGAGUGGCUCGCCCGACACCUCGGCCAAGAAAAACCGAAGUCCAUGGCGGCCCUCACGACACUCAUGACCAGCUUUUGCGCGGGCGAGGACAUCUAG
RNAcentral lists this ribosomal RNA (510 nucleotides) under Triticum aestivum (bread wheat). Its description in RNAcentral is "partial small subunit ribosomal RNA". The record is from RNAcentral. Lineage: Eukaryota; Viridiplantae; Streptophyta; Magnoliopsida; Poales; Poaceae.